RNAcentral lists this ribosomal RNA (459 nucleotides) under uncultured bacterium. Its description in RNAcentral is "partial 16S ribosomal RNA". It matches the Rfam family "Bacterial small subunit ribosomal RNA", at positions 338 to 795 of the family's 1533-position model. The record is from RNAcentral.
CCUACGGGAGGCAGCAGUGAGGAAUAUUGGUCAAUGGACGGAAGUCUGAACCAGCCAUGCCGCGUGCAGGAAGACGGCUCUAUGAGUUGUAAACUGCUUUUGUACAAGGGUAAACCUGAAUACGUGUAUUCAGCUGAAAGUACUGUACGAAUAAGGAUCGGCUAACUCCGUGCCAGCAGCCGCGGUAAUACGGAGGAUGCGAGCGUUAUCCGGAUUUAUUGGGUUUAAAGGGUGCGCAGGCGGAGGCACAAGUCAGCGGUAAAAUCGAGGGGCUCAACCCCGCUCCGCCGUUGAAACUGUGUACCUUGAGUGCGCGAAGGGCAGGCGGAAUUCGAGGUGUAGCGGUGAAAUGCUUAGAUAUCACGAAGAACCCCGAUUGCGAAGGCAGCCUGCCGCAGCGUUACUGACGCUGAAGCUCGAAAGCGCGGGUAUCGAACAGGAUUAGAUACCCGAGUAGUC